GACGAACGCUGGCGGCGUGCUUAACACAUGCAAGUCGAACGGAAAGGCCCUGCUUUUGUGGGGUGCUCGAGUGGCGAACGGGUGAGUAACACGUGAGUAACCUGCCCUUGACUUUGGGAUAACUUCAGGAAACUGGGGCUCAUACCGGAUAGGAGCUCCUGCUGCAUGGUGGGGGUUGGAAAGAUUCGGCUGUUGGGGAUGGACUCGCGGGUUAUCAGCUUGUUGGUGGGGUAGUGGCUUACCAAGGCUUUGACGGGUAGCCCGCAUGAGAGGGUGACCGGCCACAUUGGGACUGAGAUACGGCGCAGACUCCAACGGGAGGCAGCAGGGGGGAAUAUUGCACAGUGGGCGGGAGCCUGAUGCAGCGACGCCGCGUGCGUGAUGACGUCUUUCGGGUUGUAAACAGCUGUGGCCUGUGACGAAGCGUGAUUGACGGUAAUGAGUAAAGAAGCACCGGCUAACUACGUG
RNAcentral lists this ribosomal RNA (468 nucleotides) under uncultured bacterium. RNAcentral describes it as "partial 16S ribosomal RNA". It matches the Rfam family "Bacterial small subunit ribosomal RNA", at positions 28 to 507 of the family's 1533-position model. The record is from RNAcentral.